Dermacentor andersoni is the source of this 1684-nucleotide non-coding RNA. Lineage: Eukaryota; Metazoa; Arthropoda; Arachnida; Ixodida; Ixodidae. The record is from RefSeq and is a predicted model, not a curated record.
UCAGAUCCCUGCGAGCAUUUUCAAAAUUCAAUUAUUUUAGACAACAGGCACAUAUGCAAUACUGACAUAAUCUCAAAUACCACUAAGCAGCUGGGACACAUUUUUGUUGACCAUACUCGCCGGUAAAACAAGUAGAUCAUGUGGACAGCUCCAGCUCAUUUUCCUUAAAUCAGUGUGUACAAGGGGUAUGCAAAAAUAUUUUUUUUCUCGCGCACCGAUUAUUUUGCUGUAUAAGCAAGAGAACCCACCACGUUAGUGUAACGUAUCUUGUACAUCACACUAAUAUGUGCUUUAAUUUACCAAGUGAGAUGAGUUACUUUUAUGGCUCAUUCAGUCAUAUCACACUGCAAGCUGCAUUCAUCAAUCUUCAAUAGGAUUUUGCAAAUUUUUAUUGAAACAUGUUUCCCUUUUAUGCAGAUAUGCAAUGGCAAGCCCUUCCGUGUGUUCCAAAGGUAAAAUUUAAGCUCUAAAUUAAAGAAGACAUUUCUAGUCAGAAACAAGCAAAAAUGGUGAAUGCAGAGUAUCAGAAGCCCAAGGUACAGAAAUUAUGAGAAGUGUCGAAUGAUUUUAAGGAAAGAGUCAUAUUUGAAAAUUCAAGACUCUUUAGUGGAGGUCAAGCAAGUCAAUAUAGGUAGAAAACUCUGCAAAAUUAUGCGAGUGAGGGGAUGUCAAACAAUGGGUCAGGAAAUGCGUUGUUUUUCUGCAAAACAAAAGCUGAUUGCCAUUACAUAAGUCACUUUAGCAUCGUGAGACUGCUGCUUGAUAAAUUCAGAAAUAAACCAGAAAACAAGACACGCAAUAAUAAAAAACAAUUUAAUGAUGCUCUCUCCACACUGGGAUAAAUAAAAACAAACACAUCACAUCUAAUGUGGACAUAUCAGACGCCUUGUGAAACACUAAAGGAAAAAUUCAGUUUCGAGCUAUGGCACUUGCCACAUAGAUGUGGGGGGCCUUGCACUAAUAGUGAUAGUUACCACUGCAUUUAGAAAUUGAAAGCAUUCAUGCAGACAAGGAUGAUUCUUUAUAUUUUUGGCUACCACUUCAAAUGCCUCCACCAAGUGUUACAAUGCUGCACGCAGCCAUACUAAGGAUCUCGCAGCAACACCUGCAGGUAAAAAGCAGAAGCAGUCAAAGUGCUGGUGUGUACUGGGCACUAUGUUUGAAAAUUUUUAAACAAGAAGAGUGCAAGAAGCAAACGUAACAAAUGCAUUUAUUUCCAUAAUUCCCCAUUUGAAUGGCCUUUUCUUUUUGCUUAGACAAUGCCUAUGACUAGCCACAGCAGCUCCCUCAUACAGACUCCGCAAGCCAAGAGGCCGUGGAAGCAAAUGCAGGCAGCCAGCACACCUCGAACGGCCACCUUGACUGCGGGUGUGUCACCCUAGUCGCCAAGGAAACAUAUGAGGGAAAGCGACAGGCAAUGUGAACAGCCACUUCUCCAUGUAAACGAUACUCUUUCUCUCGGAUGACUCCUACGCCUCGCCACGCCAGCACUCUUGUGCACAAAGAUGCCGCGGAGGCACGUGCAAGUCAGAGGCAAGAAGCAGUGGCACUGGUGUCGACAUUCACCCAAUUUCUUUUUCUUACACUGAGGCAGCCAGCACACCUCGAACAGCCACCUUGACUGCGGGUGUGUCAGUAGAUUCCUGUUGUACAUAUGCUCAUAAUAAACUUCAGUAAACUUGAA